GACGAACGCUGGCGGCGUGCCUAAUACAUGCAAGUAGAACGCACAGUUUAUACCGUAGCUUGCUACACCAUAGACUGUGAGUUGCGAACGGGUGAGUAACGCGUAGGUAACCUGCCUGGUAGCUGGGGAUAACUAUUGGAAACGCUAGCUAAUACCGCAUAAUAUUUAUUAUUGCAUGAUAAUUGAUUGAAAGAUGCUAUUGCAUCACUACCAGAUGGACCUGCGUUGUAUUAGCUAGUAGGUGAGGUAACGGCUCACCUAGGCGACGAUACAUAGCCGACAUGAGAGGGCGAGCAGCCACACUGGGACUGAGACACGGCCCAGACUCCUUCGGGAGGCAGCAGUAGGGAAUCUUCGGCAAUGGACGAAAGUCUGACCGAGCAACGCCGCGUGAGUGAAGAAGGUUUUCGGAUCGUAAAGCUCUGUUGUAAGAGAAGAACGGGUGUGAGAGUGGAAAGUUCACACUGUGACGGUAUCUUACCAGAAAGGGACGGCUAACUACGUG
Molecule: ribosomal RNA, 505 nt
Filed under: uncultured bacterium
Lineage: Bacteria
Description: partial 16S ribosomal RNA
Rfam family: Bacterial small subunit ribosomal RNA
Source: RNAcentral